This 760-nucleotide ribosomal RNA is filed under the name uncultured Antarctic cyanobacterium. RNAcentral's name for it is "bacterial SSU rRNA". It matches the Rfam family "Bacterial small subunit ribosomal RNA", at positions 8 to 812 of the family's 1533-position model. Lineage: Bacteria; Bacillati; Cyanobacteriota. The record is from RNAcentral.
AGAGUUUGAUCCUGGCUCAGGAUGAACGCUGGCGGUCUGCUUAACACAUGCAAGUCGAACGGAGUACUUCGGUACUUAGUGGCGGACGGGUGAGUAACGCGUGAGGAUCUGCCCUCAGGAGGGGGACAACGACUGGAAACGGUCGCUAAUACCCCAUAUGCCGAGAGGUGAAAUGUUUUUUCGCCUGAGGAUGAGCUCGCGUCAGAUUAGCUAGUUGGUGGGGUAACGGCCUACCAAGGCGACGAUCUGUAGCUGGUCUGAGAGGAUGAUCAGCCACACUGGGACUGAGACACGGCCCAGACUCCUACGGGAGGCAGCAGUGGGGAAUUUUCCGCAAUGGGCGAAAGCCUGACGGAGCAAGACCGCGUGAGGGAUGACGGCCUAAUGGUUGUAAACCUCUUUUCUCUGGGAAGAUAAUGACGGUACCAGAGGAAUAAGCCUCGGCUAACUCCGUGCCAGCAGCCGCGGUAAUACGGAGGAGGCAAGCGUUACCCGGAAUUAUUGGGCGUAAAGCGUCCGUAGGUGGUUAAUCAAGUCAGCUGUUAAAGAGCGGAGCUCAACUCCGUUAGAGCGGUUGAAACUGACUGACUAGAGUUUGGUAGGGGUCGAGGGAAUUCCCAGUGUAGCGGUGAAAUGCGUAGAUGUUGGGAAGAACACCGGUGGCGAAAGCGCUCGACUGGGCCUGAACUGACACUGAGGGACGAAAGCUAGGGGAGCGAAAGGGAUUAGAUACCCCUGUAGUCCUAGCCGUAAACGAUGA